GAGUUUGAUCAUGGCUCAGAUUGAACGCUGGCGGCAGGCCUAACACAUGCAAGUCGAGCGGUAACAGAGAGAAGCUUGCUUCUCUGCUGACGAGCGGCGGACGGGUGAGUAAUACUUGGGAACUUGCCUUUAGGAGGGGGACAACCACGGGAAACUGUGGCUAAUACCGCAUAAUGUCUACGGACCAAAGUAGGGGAUCUUCGGACCUUACACCUAAAGAUGGGCCCAAGCGAGAUUAGCUAGUUGGUGGGGUAAAGGCUCACCAAGGCGACGAUCUCUAGCUGUUCUGAGAGGAUGAUCAGCCACACUGGGACUGAGACACGGCCCAGACUCCUACGGGAGGCAGCAGUGGGGAAUAUUGCACAAUGGGGGAAACCCUGAUGCAGCCAUGCCGCGUGUGUGAAGAAGGCCUUCGGGUUGUAAAGCACUUUCAGUGGUGAGGAAGGCCGUAAGAUUAAUACUCUUGCGGAUUGACGUUAACCACAGAAGAAGCACCGGCUAACUCCGUGCCAGCAGCCGCGGUAA
This 525-nucleotide ribosomal RNA is filed under the name uncultured Gammaproteobacteria bacterium. RNAcentral's name for it is "bacterial SSU rRNA". It matches the Rfam family "Bacterial small subunit ribosomal RNA", at positions 9 to 523 of the family's 1533-position model. Lineage: Bacteria; Pseudomonadati; Pseudomonadota; Gammaproteobacteria. The record is from RNAcentral.